GGCCCCGUGGCGAAAUGGCAGACGCAGCGGACUUAAAAUCCGCGGCCUGAAUAAGGCGUGUGGGUUCGAGUCCCACCGGGGCCA
This 84-nucleotide transfer RNA is filed under the name Phycisphaerae bacterium. RNAcentral describes it as "tRNA-Leu". It matches the Rfam family "tRNA". Rfam says of the family: Transfer RNA (tRNA) molecules are approximately 80 nucleotides in length. Their secondary structure includes four short double-helical elements and three loops (D, anti-codon, and T loops). Lineage: Bacteria; Pseudomonadati; Planctomycetota; Phycisphaerae. The record is from RNAcentral.